Molecule: long non-coding RNA, 293 nt
Filed under: Cyanistes caeruleus (blue tit)
Lineage: Eukaryota; Metazoa; Chordata; Aves; Passeriformes; Paridae
Description: lncRNA (ENSCCEG00000020782.1)
Source: RNAcentral
GAGCGGGCCCCGGCGGGAAUGCGGCAGCGGGCGGCAGCCUUUGUCAGGCGCUUUUUCUGGGAGAGAAAAAGGGGAAAAAAGCAGCUGUAUUUUUUUUCCUCAAGUGUCGGAUGUUCCCUGCGUGUGCGGUGAAACCGGGUGUGUGAUCGCUGGCUGUGCCUGUCUGCUGGUUACACUUAUUGAUGGUAUCUCCAGAGGUUUCCAAUUUCUAGAUACUCAGGUGUACUUCAAAGAUGCCAGAUGAGCACUUCUUGAGGUUGUUUCUGGUUCACAGGUUCAAAGUCCCCAGGCUG